Molecule: ribosomal RNA, 497 nt
Filed under: uncultured bacterium
Lineage: Bacteria
Description: partial 16S ribosomal RNA
Rfam family: Bacterial small subunit ribosomal RNA
Source: RNAcentral
GAUGAACGCUGGCGGCGUGCCUAAUACAUGCAAGUCGAGCGAACAGACGAGGAGCUUGCUCCUCUGACGUUAGCGGCGGACGGGUGAGUAACACGUGGAUAACCUACCUAUAAGACCGGGAUAACUUCGGGAAACCGGAGCUAAUACCGGAUAAUAUAUUGAACCGCAUGGUUCAAUAGUGAAAGACGGUUUUGCUGUCACUUAUAGAUGGAUCCGCGCCGCAUUAGCUAGUUGGUAAGGUAACGGCUUACCAAGGCAACGAUGCGUAGCCGACCUGAGAGGGUGAUCGGCCACACUGGAACUGAGACACGGUCCAGACUCCUACGGGAGGCAGCAGUAGGGAAUCUUCCGCAAUGGGCGAAAGCCUGACGGAGCAACGCCGCGUGAGUGAUGAAGGUCUUCGGAUCGUAAAACUCUGUUAUUAGGGAAGAACAAAUGUGUAAGUAACUAUGCACGUCUUGACGGUACCUAAUCAGAAAGCCACGGCUAGCUACGUG